GGUGACAAAGUUCAACGGCCGCGGCUACCCUAACCGUGCGAAGGUAGCAUAAUCACUUGUUCUUUAAAUAAGGACUAGUAUCAACGGCACCACGAGGGCUACACUGUCUCCUUUCUCCAAUCAGUGAAACUGAUCUCCCCGUGAAGAAGCGGGGAUUAAUAUAUAAGACGAGAAGACCCCAUGGAGCUUUAAACUCACCAUACACCUCUGUUUACCUACAUCAUUAUAUCCUAAAAGACUUGUAUGCUAGUUUUAGGUUGGGGGGACCGCGGAGUAAAAAUUAACCUCCGCAACAAAUGGGCUACGCCCUUAUCUAAGAACUACAGUUCUAAGAAUCAAUAAACUGAUGUUUAAUGACCCGAAUUAUCGAUCAACGAACCAAGUUACCCUGGGGAUAACAGCGCAAUCUACUUCAAGAGCUCCUAUCGACAAGUGGGUUUACGACCUCGAUGUUGGAUCAGGGUAUCCCAGUGGUGCAGCCGCUACUAAAGGUUCGUUUGUUCAACGAUUAAAACCCUACGUGAUCUGAGUUCAAACCGGAA
RNAcentral lists this ribosomal RNA (542 nucleotides) under Meristogenys phaeomerus (Kapit Borneo frog). RNAcentral describes it as "partial 16S ribosomal RNA". It matches the Rfam family "Bacterial large subunit ribosomal RNA", at positions 1908 to 2621 of the family's 2925-position model. The record is from RNAcentral. Lineage: Eukaryota; Metazoa; Chordata; Amphibia; Anura; Ranidae.